RNAcentral lists this ribosomal RNA (292 nucleotides) under uncultured Acidobacteriota bacterium. RNAcentral's name for it is "uncultured Acidobacteria bacterium partial 16S ribosomal RNA". The record is from RNAcentral. Lineage: Bacteria; Pseudomonadati; Acidobacteriota.
GGACUACCAGGGUAUCUAAUCCUGUUUGCUCCCCUAGCUUUCGUCUCUCAGCGUCAGUUGCGGUCCAGUGAGCCGCCUUCGCCUCUGGUGUUCCUGCAGAUAUCUACGCAUUUCACCGCUACACCUGCAAUUCCACUCACCUCUCCCGCACUCCAGCACGGCAGUUUCGGAGGCAGUCCCUGAGUUAAGCCCAGGGAUUUCACUCCCGACUUGCCGCACCGCCUACAGACCCUUUACGCCCAGUUAUUCCGAGCAACGCUGGCCCCCUACGUCUUACCGCGGCGGCUGGCAC